Molecule: long non-coding RNA, 943 nt
Organism: Passer domesticus (house sparrow)
Lineage: Eukaryota; Metazoa; Chordata; Aves; Passeriformes; Passeridae
Exons: 2
Source: RefSeq, a predicted model, not a curated record
CGCUCGGGGCUCACCCCGUGCCGGAUUGCACGAGGUUUUGUGGAGUCGGUUUUUUUCCCCAAAAGGCUUGGUCCUUUUGAGAACGCUCUGUUAAAAAGAAAGAAACAAACAACCCCAAUCUCCCAAAACCCGCAGUGCAACAAAACCUCGGAACCGACCUGUGUAGAUUUCAGCAGUUCAAAAGGAGAAGGAGUUUUGUUUCAGGUAUAUUGACAAUUGUGACAGCAAGUGCUUGUGACUGUACAGCAAUGGAUGAUAAAAGAGUAGUCUGGGCUUUCUCUGGAAGUUACCAUUGAGAGCAGAUGAACUGUCAGAGCUUGAAGAGUAAGAAGUCACGUCCACACUACUGAGGUGCCAAUUAGCCAACUUUGAACACGGUCCAUUUGUCAGAUUUUAGGGAGUGAACAUUGUUGGUAGCUGGAAACAAGAGACAGGGAAAGCUAUUACUGGAAUAACACAUGGAAAUAUCCAAUUGUUCUCUACAAGCUGUAACUUUUGUUUCAUCAGCAAGUAUGGAAGCAAAGCUGGCCAGGCUUCCUGACUAGCAAUUGUAGCACAGCUUUCUUUCAUCAGAUUUUGAUAACUUCAUCAGAGACAGGCAGCAAUCUCUGGAUUUUGACAUUGUCAAUUUUAUAUAAAUUGAUAAAAUCUCUGAAACAGAUUAAAAGUCUCUGCUAAAAUCCUUGAAAAAUUUUCUUGGUGCUUUGUGUGAGUAUCCUGGGGCACAAUAUCAAUAUUAAUAAUAAUGUCUAAGGUAAUGCUGAUCUGUCUGCCAAACAAAAAAAAAAAAAAUUCCAUCCUUUAUCUCUGGCUUUUUCCACUAUUUUCUCUAUCAAUGGUGGUCAUAGAAGUACAGAAGCAGUCAUGUAUCUAAUAUUUCUCCAUUUAAGUUUUUUGGGAAAAUGUCUGUCAAUAAAUUGUGUGAGCUUGUAAAGAAGUAUAA